Molecule: ribosomal RNA, 497 nt
Filed under: uncultured bacterium
Lineage: Bacteria
Description: partial 16S ribosomal RNA
Rfam family: Bacterial small subunit ribosomal RNA
Source: RNAcentral
GAUGAACGCUGGCGGCGUGCCUAAUACAUGCAAGUCGAGCGAACGGACGAGAAGCUUGCUCCUCUGACGUUAGCGGCGGACGGGUGAGUAACACGUGGAUAACCUACCUAUAAGACUGGGAUAACUUCGGGAAACCGGAGCUAAUACCGGAUAAUAUAUUGAACCGCAUGGUUCAAUAGUGAAAGACGGUUUUGCUGUCACUUAUAGAUGGAUCCGCGCCGCAUUAGCUAGUUGGUAAGGUAACGGCUUACCAAGGCAACGAUGCGUAGCCGACCUGAGAGGGUGAUCGGCCACACUGGAACUGAGACACGGUCCAGACUCCUACGGGAGGCAGCAGUAGGGAAUCUUCCGCAAUGGGCGAAAGCCUGACGGAGCAACGCCGCGUGAGUGAUGAAGGUCUUCGGAUCGUAAAACUCUGUUAUUAGGGAAGAACAAAUGUGUAAGUAACUAUGCACGUCUUGACGGUACCUAAUCAGAAAGCCACGGCUAACUACGUG